UUCCUGCUCAAUGACAUUUAAAUAGCCGCAGUACCCUGACUGUGCAAAGGUAGCAUAAUCAAUUGGCCUAUAAUUGAGGUCUGGCAUGAAUGGAAACCUGGGUAAAAUCUGUCUUAUCCUAAUUAAUAAAACUUACUUAAUAAGUGCAAAUACUUAUGUAUUAAUAUAAUAGACGAGAAGACCCUAGAAAUUUUAUAUAAUGUAGUGACUCGGUACUACUAUUUUGUUGGGGCGACAGGAUAACAAAUAACUUAUCCACAUAUAAUUUGAAGUUACUCAGCAUAUAAAUAAUUACUCUAGGGAUAACAGCAUAAUUUGUUUCAAGUUUGUGACCUCGAUGUUGGACUAGGGUAUAAAUUAUUUAGAAGAUAAUUUAGUAGGCUCUGUUCGAGCUAUUUACCCCU
RNAcentral lists this ribosomal RNA (404 nucleotides) under Caracollina lenticula. Its description in RNAcentral is "partial 16S ribosomal RNA". It matches the Rfam family "Archaeal large subunit ribosomal RNA", at positions 1948 to 2666 of the family's 2987-position model. Lineage: Eukaryota; Metazoa; Mollusca; Gastropoda; Stylommatophora; Hygromiidae. The record is from RNAcentral.